UACGGAGGAUCCAAGCGUUAUCCGGAAUCAUUGGUUUAAAGGGUCCGUAGGCGGGACAGUGAGUCAGUGGUGAAAGCCUGCAGCUCAACUGUAGAAUUGCCAUUGAAACUGUUGUCCUUGAGUAAUUAUGAAGUGGUUAGAAUAUGUAGUGUAGCGGUGAAAUGCAUUGAUAUUACAUAGAAUACCGAUUGCGAAGGCAGAUCACUAAUAAUUCACUGACGCUGAGGGACGAAAGCGUAGGUAGCGAACAGG
This 252-nucleotide unclassified non-coding RNA is filed under the name uncultured Flavobacteriaceae bacterium. RNAcentral describes it as "contains 16S-23S intergenic spacer region". It matches the Rfam family "Bacterial small subunit ribosomal RNA", at positions 524 to 776 of the family's 1533-position model. The record is from RNAcentral. Lineage: Bacteria; Pseudomonadati; Bacteroidota; Flavobacteriia; Flavobacteriales; Flavobacteriaceae.